Molecule: ribosomal RNA, 497 nt
Filed under: uncultured bacterium
Lineage: Bacteria
Description: partial 16S ribosomal RNA
Rfam family: Bacterial small subunit ribosomal RNA
Source: RNAcentral
GAUGAACGCUGGCGGCGUGCCUAAUACAUGCAAGUCGAACGCAUAGCGAAAGGUGCUUGCACCUUUCAAGUGAGUGGCGAACGGGUGAGUAACACGUGGACAACCUGCCUCAAGGCUGGGGAUAACAUUUGGAAACAGAUGCUAAUACCGAAUAAAACUUAGUGUCGCAUGACACAAAGUUAAAAGGCGCUUCGGCGUCACCUAGAGAUGGAUCCGCGGUGCAUUAGUUAGUUGGUGGGGUAAAGGCCUACCAAGACAAUGAUGCAUAGCCGAGUUGAGAGACUGAUCGGCCACAUUGGGACUGAGACACGGCCCAAACUCCUGCGGGAGGCUGCAGUAGGGAAUCUUCCACAAUGGGCGAAAGCCUGAUGGAGCAACGCCGCGUGUGUGAUGAAGGCUUUCGGGUCGUAAAGCACUGUUGUAUGGGAAGAACAGCUAGAAUAGGAAAUGAUUUUAGUUUGACGGUACCAUACCAGAAAGGGACGGCUAAAUACGUG